RNAcentral lists this ribosomal RNA (424 nucleotides) under uncultured fungus. Its description in RNAcentral is "eukaryotic LSU rRNA". It matches the Rfam family "Eukaryotic large subunit ribosomal RNA", at positions 1 to 422 of the family's 3401-position model. The record is from RNAcentral. Lineage: Eukaryota; Fungi.
GACCUCGGAUCAGGUUGGGAUACCCGCUGAACUUAAGCAUAUCAAUAAGCGGAGGAAAAGAAACCAACUGGGAUUGCCUCAGUAACGGCGAGUGAAGCGGCAUCAGCUCAGAUUUGAAAUCUGGUUCUUUCAGAGCCCGAGUUGUAAUCUGUAGAGGAGUCUUCGGGUUUGGAUCUGGCCUAAGUUUCUUGGAACAGAACGUCAUAGAGGGUGAGAGUCCCGUAUGAGGCCAGCUACCUAUUCCCAUGUGAAGCUUCUUCGACGAGUCGAGUUGUUUGGGAAUGCAGCUCAAAAUGGGUGGUAAAUUUCAUCUAAAGCUAAAUAUUGGCGGGAGACCGAUAGCGCACAAGUAGAGUGAUCGAAAGAUGAAAAGCACUUUGAAAAGAGAGUUAAAAAGUACGUGAAAUUGUUGAAAGGGAAACGC